AUUAACCUGAGAUGCUCGAUAAUUCUUGUUAUUUUGAACCUACAGUUACUUUAAACGGGAUUCCUACAUCGUUAUGUGGAUGUCAAGCCUCCGGUCUUUACAGACAUUGUGCAGUGGAAGGCAGAAGCAUGAUUGCGGUUACCCACCUAGCUAUAGCUAGGAGUCAAAAUACAGGAUUCGGCAUUUUGGGGAUUAU
RNAcentral lists this non-coding RNA (196 nucleotides) under Lachnospiraceae bacterium. RNAcentral's name for it is "6S RNA". It matches the Rfam family "6S / SsrS RNA". Rfam says of the family: E. coli 6S RNA was the first non coding RNA to be sequenced, but its function was unknown until recently. It consists of 184 nucleotides that fold into an extended hairpin structure with a large single-stranded internal bulge. The record is from RNAcentral. Lineage: Bacteria; Bacillati; Bacillota; Clostridia; Lachnospirales; Lachnospiraceae.